This 200-nucleotide ribosomal RNA is filed under the name uncultured bacterium. RNAcentral describes it as "partial 16S ribosomal RNA". It matches the Rfam family "Bacterial small subunit ribosomal RNA", at positions 29 to 237 of the family's 1533-position model. The record is from RNAcentral.
AGCGAACGUUAGCGGCGGGCCUAACACAUGCAAGUCGAGGGGUGGUAGCAAUACUACACCGGCGCACGGGUGCGUAACGCGUAUGCAAUCUACCUUUAUCUGGGGGAUAGCCCGGGGAAACCCGGAUUAAUACCGCAUGACACAUAGAGGAUACCUAUUUUUUAAUGUUAAAGAUUAUCGGUGGUAGAUGGGCAUGCGUC